UUGAAGGGAGGGUAAAACCUGCCUUCGAAAUCUUUAAACUCUUAUAUAACGAAUGUUUAUCUGCCGCAAGGCAAAAUUUAAUACAACUUUUAACAACGGAUCUCUUGGCUCUCGCAUCGAUGAAGAACGCAGCGAAAUGCGAUAAGUAAUGUGAAUUGCAGAAUUCAGUGAAUCAUCGAAUCUUUGAACGCACCUUGCGCUCCCUGGUAUUCCGGGGAGCACGCCUGUUCGAGUGUCAUGAAACUCUCAAGCAAGAUAGAUUUAUUUCUAUCUCUGUUUGGAUAUGGACUCUGCCGCGUCAAUGCGGCUGGUCUUAAAUAUAUUAGCUGGUCCUAGUGAAGGUUUGGUUCUACUCAGCAUGAUAAUUAUCUGAUGUUGAGGACAGUCUUAGGACUGGCCAGGCUCUCUCUGGAUUGCUUCUAAUCGUCUUUGGACAAUUAAUCAAUAUCUGACCUCGAAUCAGGUGGGACUACCCGCUGAACUUAAGCAUAUCAA
Molecule: unclassified non-coding RNA, 495 nt
Filed under: uncultured Sistotrema
Lineage: Eukaryota; Fungi; Basidiomycota; Agaricomycetes; Corticiales; Corticiaceae
Description: sequence contains ITS1, 5.8S rRNA gene and ITS2
Rfam family: 5.8S ribosomal RNA (bases 85-238)
Source: RNAcentral